Molecule: ribosomal RNA, 1356 nt
Filed under: uncultured bacterium
Lineage: Bacteria
Description: bacterial SSU rRNA
Rfam family: Bacterial small subunit ribosomal RNA
Source: RNAcentral
AUUGAACGCUGGCGGUAGGCUUAACACAUGCAAGUCGUGCGAGAAAGUAUCUUCGGAUAUGAGUAGAGCGGCGGACGGGUGAGUAACGCGUAGGAAUCUACCUAGUAGAAGGGGAUAGCCCGGGGAAACUCGGAUUAAUACCGUAUACCUCCUUCGGGAGAAAGAAGGCCUCUCUUUGAAGCUUUCGCUAUUAGAUGAGCCUGCGUAAGAUUAGCUUGUUGGUGAGGUAAAAGCUCACCAAGGCGACGAUCUUUAGCGGGUCUGAGAGGACGAUCCGCCACAUUGGGACUGAGACACGGCCCAGACUCCUACGGGAGGCAGCAGUGGGGAAUAUUGGACAAUGGGCGCAAGCCUGAUCCAGCCAUACCGCGCGUGUGAAGAAGGCCCUAGGGUUGUAAAGCACUUUAAGUUGGGAAGAAAAGUUAUUGGUUAAUACCCAAUAACCGUGACAUUACCAUCAGAAUAAGGACCGGCUAAUUCCGUGCCAGCAGCCGCGGUAAUACGGAAGGUCCAAGCGUUAAUCGGAAUUACUGGGCGUAAAGCGCGCGUAGGUGGUUUAUUAAGUUGGAUGUGAAAUCCCCGGGCUCAACCUGGGAACUGCAUCCAAAACUGAUUCACUAGAGUACGAUAGAGGGAGGUAGAAUUCACAGUGUAGCGGUGGAAUGCGUAGAUAUUGUGAAGAAUACCAAUGGCGAAGGCAGCCUCCUGGAUCUGUACUGACACUGAGGUGCGAAAGCGUGGGUAGCGAACAGGAUUAGAUACCCUGGUAGUCCACGCCGUAAACGAUGUCAACUAGCUGUUGGAAAACUAUGUUUUUCAGUGGCGCAGCUAACGUAGUAAGUUGACCGCCUGGGGAGUACGGCCGCAAGGCUAAAACUCAAAUGAAUUGACGGGGACCCGCACAAGCGGUGGAGCAUGUGGUUUAAUUCGAUGCAACGCGAAAAACCUUACCUAUACUUGACAUACUUGGAAUGCUUUGUAAUGAAGCAGUGCCUUCGGGAGCCAAGAUACAGGUGCUGCAUGGCUGUCGUCAGCUCGUGUCGUGAGAUGUUCCGUUAAGUCGGAUAACGAGCGCAACCCUUACCCUUAUUUGCCAGCGAUUCGGUCGGGAACUAUAAGGGGACUGCCGGUGAUAAACCGGAGGAAGGUGAGGACGACGUCAAGUCAUCAUGGCCCUUACGUAUAGGGCUACGCACGUGCUACAAUGGAGAAUACAGACGGACGCUAAGCCGCGAGGUGGUGCUAAUCCUAGAAAAUUCUUCGUAGUCCGGAUUGGAGUCUGCAACUCGACUCCAUGAAGUCGGAAUCGCUAGUAAUCGCGAAUCAGCAUGUCGCGGUGAAUACGUUCUCGGGUCU